RNAcentral lists this long non-coding RNA (3113 nucleotides) under Triticum aestivum (bread wheat). Its description in RNAcentral is "long non-coding RNA (TAES_LNC010217)". The stretch from base 949 to 995 matches the Rfam family "Histone 3' UTR stem-loop". Lineage: Eukaryota; Viridiplantae; Streptophyta; Magnoliopsida; Poales; Poaceae. The record is from RNAcentral.
GUCCGGCGUCGACAAGUACAACAUCCUCUCCCGCUUCACCUGCAACGCGUUCUACCUCGACUCCAAGUCCACCAUCGGCGUCGAGUUCGCCACCCGCACCCUCCUCGCGAGUACUCACCCCCGUUCCAUUAAUCGUUGUCAUUCCUUGCUUUGCUCGCCGCUAGAUCCGAUGUAUCAGUCUAGUGAUUCGCUGCCCAGAUAUCUUGCACUCCAGAUCUAGUGAUUCGCUGCUUGCAAACAAUAGCUAGUAAAUCGGUCACCAUGGGGACGGGGACAUGAGAUUCAGAGAAGAGAUGCUGCUGCCAGCCUAUACUAGUUCAUAUGUAUCCAGGUGCCUAGAUCUACCAUACUCACCUCAUUUCACUGUGCUACUAGUAGUUCCUAGGCCAUUAGCUCUUGCUUGCUUUUUUUGCUGCACAAUGAGCAUUCUCGGUGAACAUUGAGGCCUAGUUUGGCAACACCGCUUUUCAAAGACCAUGGUUUUCCAAAACUUCAGUAUUUCAAUAGAUGGGCAACAAGUACUUCAGUUUCUGAAAAACAUAGAUUUUCUCAGUUUUGAUAAAAUUGCUCAGGUGUUUGGCAAGUGGCAGUUUUUCUCUGUUUUCUUUGGUUUGUACAGAUUAUUACAUGUUGCAUGCAUGCUCAACAACACUCACGGAUCAGCUUGUGCUAAUGGCCACUGUAUGCAUGUAGCCUUGCACGGGCAUGUUCUCUCCUAGUAGAUGCCAGAAUCUGUAGCAGCAGUAGUAGUAGAGCUAUCUAUUGUAAUCAAUUAAAGACCGAGCUAGUUACCACAUGGACAGAGAGAGCGCCCAGCCAGCGUUUCUCAGUUUUUUAAAAAGAGUUCGGGACCACUUUUUUAUAUAUAACAAAAGACCAUAGUUUAAGAGAUACCACAGUUUGUUAAAUUGCAGUAUUUUUUCAUCCAAACAACUCAAAGUAUUGAAUACCAAGGUUUUCUUAGAAACCAUAGUAUUUUUUAAAACUACAAAAAUACUUUGGCUCCCAAACGCACACUGAAUCUCUUAAUUAGCGACAAUAUUAAGAUGACAUCCACCCAUUUCUUUAUUUUUGUGAAUGGACAGAGUGAUCUAUAUUUUUUCGUCAGUCCAUACAACACUUUUGACUAGUAAGAUUCAUUAUGUACAAUGUAGUGUGCCUAUUGGUUUUCAUGUUUAGGAAGAACCUAUGAUUUACCUUCAGAGAAACACAUAGUUUGUCCUAGGAGGCAAUGUGCAUGUUUUAUUUUCUUUGAGAAAUGUUCAUUCCAUGGAAGGGGGUGUAGGAGCACAAGCAUCCCAAUAUGCCCAUACAGGACAAAAAAGUUACUACAAUGUUAAAUAUUCAUUUUACUGCUAGUGUCCAUUUAGCAGUUUUUUACUAUGUUUCUACCAAGAUGAUUCAGCCAUUUGUUUGUUUUCCUGCAGCAAAGUGCGGCUGGACGAACGAGGCUGCUAUUCUGCCUUGAUCUGCACACAAAGAGUUCUUGGACCUGACCUGAAGCAAGGAUACCUGCGGCUGCAAGCCAACAAUGUCUGAAGACAGGCGCUGCUUGUCGAUGUUCUCCGCAUAACGAUAGGCUUCCAUGUAUUUUCCACUUUCCUUUUCGCUUUCUGUAAUGCUAACUUGACGGUCACCCUAUAGUUUGUUGGCUGUUGCAACCCAGCAGCGGCACUUCCAUUUUAACGCAUGUACUAGUGUGCUAAAACUUGCAAAAGACACAAAUCUUGAGCUUUCUUUAUCAGCUUGUUGUUGCUGCUCCUUGUGUACAAUGAUUGAUGUUGCUCUAGUUAGUGUUGUAUAGGAAGAAAGAGGAUGUAUUUAUAUAGACAUGUAUGUAUGUUUACUUCAUUUGUUCCUUGUCUGUCCAAUCCCCUCCUAAUGAAUUUGUUUGUUCGAUUUGGAUUAGCAGGCUCGUCCCUGGACCAGAUGUUCAAGUACAGCCCCAUCCACUGCAUCGACCUAGAGUCAAGUAUGUACUCGUCUUGUUGAACAAAUGGGACGUAUGCUUCAUGGCCUAAUGCUUGAUGCUUGAUGCAUGUAUCAUGUUUGUUCAUUGGUAAAUAUGUAAAUCAUGGCUGGCCUGAUGGUUCAUGGCCUCAUGUUUUCUUCAGUGGUAGCACAUUCAGAUGUAUUAAUUAAUUUUAUACAUGUUUGCAAAUUUGGACGACGAUAACAAACUGUAAUCAUGAAUACUUGUCUAAAAACUUGAACAACCAUCUUGUUUAAUUUGGUGAUGUUCCUCCAUGCUAAGACCUAAUCUGCUGCACUAUUAUUUAGUUUUCAUCACCGGUUUUGAUUUCACUAAAUUUAUAUUUUCUUUUGUAUGCUUAUAGUCUAUUAGUUCUCAUUCUAGCUCUAAAUGUUGUUUGCAGCAUCACCAUCAAGUACGCCAUCAAAGUAAUUCACCACUCCACCAUCAACUAUGCUUUGCUCUACUUGCUCUCCUUAGUUUUGCUCUUUGCUGGAAAGCACAAAGAAAAUUGAAGCUAUGUAGAUGAUUUGAUCUGAAGAGGGUCAAAGAGAAAAUGCCCACAUGUUUACUGCCUUAUUAUGUUCUGCUUGAGUUGACACUAUUUAUGUCCAAACCUGGGUUUAUACUCUUUGCUUGUCGUCAUCACUCAUCGGUUGGGAUGUUUACUUAAUGUAUUUGUGUCUGAUUUGCUCCAUCAUAUUUCCUGAUGUACUUCUACAUAUAUAUGUUGGUUGUAAUCUACUUGAAUGAUCCAAGUACUUGAUAUUCCAUUCUGUUCUUGUAGGUGAAUGGAGCUUGUGUUGUUGGUAGAACUCCAUUGAUGACUUCUUCCUAUGUUGAAGAGCAUGUUCCGUGGUAUCCAAGAGUAGAUAGAUUUACACUGGCAGAGCGUUUUAUUUGUCGAUCGCAAUGUUUGUGAUUGUGUGGAAUAUUGUAUGGUUAUCUACAUGAAGUUUGAAGUUCCUGGGCGUGCAAUAUUUGAUGGUCAAACAAGUUGUUGUGAUGUGAACGAGUGUAUGGAGUUUCACAUGUUUUGUUCUGUACAUAAUAUAUUGUAAUAAACCUAUUUUGGUUGUUAUUUGAAGAUUUUCAUAUUCUUAUGUUCUUUCUGUUUGAUAUAUACUGCUUAAAAAGCAAU